ACAAAUAAAUUAUGAUCAAUGUUUUGAUAACUCUGAAUGAAUAGCAAGUCCUAGAACCAGAGAACUGGAUGUUCAAAAGAUAAAAUAGAAACUUUCAUCUGUAAGUCUCCUCCAAGAUGGGUUGAUGCCAUACAUCAAAUGACAAUAUUGCUAGCAGCUUGGCUUCCUAAUUGGAACACAUUACCUUCGGGUUAAGAACAGCUCACAGAAUAAUAAUAACUACUACUUGCCUUACCAACAUUCAACAACCACAAUAUGCAACAUCAAGGCAAAUCUGUGUACUUGAACCAUGACAACCAACAAACCUUCACAGUAGUUCAGGGUGUCUUUAGGUCAGCCAGGUUACCUUGACAAAUAUGGUUCACAGCAAUGGUACUGACUCUUUUUCCUUUUCUUUGAUCAUGGAGAUCCUUUUUAGAUUCUCAUUGCCAAGCAAUAUACAGAACUGCCUGAUGGUCUCCCUUGUCUAACCACUCCAUUCUCAUGGGACCAUAUGUGAGACUUCCACAUCAUACAGCUUUGUCCUGAACACCUUCCUGCUUGAUCUUCACUCAAGUAGGACUGCUAUUUGUCUGAUUGGUUCAGAAUCUAAAUUUAGAAAUAUUAUUUGAAAAACCCAAAUUUGUUAAUAAACUCAUUUCAUCAGCCUCAGCAUCCUCAAAAUUAAGCCAAGAAAAACAUGCAGCAUUUUUGCACAGUUGACUAGUCAGAUGCCUACAAUCUUUCUUGACACAACUGACAUAGAUGAAAACAUCUGAGAUAAACACACCUUCCCUAAUCCAUGAAAUGAAGCAGGCUACUGCUUUCAAGGGCAGGUUUAACCAUGCUUGAAAGUCAAAAAAGAUGGAGGCUACUACAGGUUUGACCAACUUGGCAUGUUCAUGUGCCUUGGUGCCACCACUGAAAGUAGAAUGUCUGCUACAAACGAAAUUUUGAAAUUAAAUAGAUGAAACAUAUGCUGAUUAGUAUCAUAAGCUCUAAAAAGACUUAGCCACGGGCCUUUAUAUGUGUAUGUGUGUGUGUGUGUAUAUAUAUAUAUAUAUAUAUAUAUAUAUAUAUAUAUAUAUAUACUACUACUACUACUACUACUACUACUACUACUUCUAAAGCCACCAUUCAGUGACUCCCUAAAAGACAAGUAGAGUUCAAGUGACAUAUAGGGAGGCUACAAAAUAAUGACUUGAGAACACUUGCUCAAACAUUUGGUAGGCGUUUCCUUUGAACAAAUUAAAUCGAUUUAAAUAUGAAUAAAGAACUAGGAUUUCCCAGGGAGAAAAAGCACAACGCAGUCGCGAAAUCAAAUAUCGAUAGCGCAUUAAAAACAAUAAAAUGCCUAGAUUAAACCACAAGAAAACAGGAAAAAAGAAUAAAAUAAUCCAUCACGAGGAAUCUCGAAGUCAAUCCGAAGAAGUUUCCAGCUUUUCUUAGAUCAUAGGCAGAAACUUUUCGAUUGAUCUACAACAGAGUAGAAACUUCAUUUAGGACAGAAGAGGAGAGACACCGAAAUCAGAUCAAAACAAAAACCUAGGUUUUCCAGGCAACGAACACAAGAUCCGAUCUCGAUGGCAGGCAAGAUAUUGGCCUGCAGAGACGACUUCUUGGUCCAUCACUACGCUGGAGAGACGGGGAGAGGGGGAAGGAGGACGCAUGGCUCGAGCAACGGAUCGCGGAGCUCGGAUUGAAAACUACCGAAGGCAUCACGGAUGAAUGAGUGAACAUUAGAUCAGAGUUCGCUUGGAGUACGGUUUUGCUCUCCUCACGGAUCCAUCCGCCGCUUCGAGAGCCGCCCCUCCCCACCCUAAACCCUAUCUCUUCUACCGUUCGACGGACGGUGGGUCGCAUCAAAUUUAAGCUGUGGUUGACGGGAAAGAGGCAACCUAAACCUUCA
RNAcentral lists this long non-coding RNA (1888 nucleotides) under Musa acuminata (dwarf banana). RNAcentral describes it as "long non-coding RNA (MACU_LNC001425)". The record is from RNAcentral. Lineage: Eukaryota; Viridiplantae; Streptophyta; Magnoliopsida; Zingiberales; Musaceae.